UGAGGAAUAUUGGUCAAUGGGCGAGAGCCUGAACCAGCCAAGUAGCGUGCAGGAUGACGGCCCUAUGGGUUGUAAACUGCUUUUAUAAGGGAAUAAAGUGGGUCUCGUGAGACUUUUUGCAUGUACCUUAUGAAUAAGGACCGGCUAAUUCCGUGCCAGCAGCCGCGGUAAUACGGAAGGUCCGGGCGUUAUCCGGAUUUAUUGGGUUUAAAGGGAGCGCAGGCCGUGGGUUAAGCGUGUCGUGAAAUUCCGUCGCUCAACGGCGGACGUGCGGCGCGAACUGGUCCACUUGAGUACGCGGGACGUUG
Molecule: ribosomal RNA, 308 nt
Filed under: uncultured Prevotella sp.
Lineage: Bacteria; Pseudomonadati; Bacteroidota; Bacteroidia; Bacteroidales; Prevotellaceae
Description: bacterial SSU rRNA
Rfam family: Bacterial small subunit ribosomal RNA
Source: RNAcentral